Molecule: ribosomal RNA, 495 nt
Filed under: uncultured bacterium
Lineage: Bacteria
Description: partial 16S ribosomal RNA
Rfam family: Bacterial small subunit ribosomal RNA
Source: RNAcentral
GAUGAACGCUGGCGGCGUGCUUAACACAUGCAAGUCGAACGAAGCACUUAAGUUUGAUUCUUCGGAUGAAGACUUUUGUGACUGAGUGGCGGACGGGUGAGUAACGCGUGGGUAACCUGCCUCAUACAGGGGGAUAACAGUUAGAAAUGACUGCUAAUACCGCAUAAGACCACAGCGCCGCAUGGUGCAGGGGUAAAAACUCCGGUGGUAUGAGAUGGACCCGCGUCUGAUUAGCUAGUUGGUGGGAUAACGGCCUACCAGGGCGACGAUCAGUAGCCGACCUGAGAGGGUGACCGGCCACAUUGGGACUGAGGCACGGCCCAAACUCCUACGGGAGGCAGCAGUGGGGAAUAUUGCACAAUGGGGGAAACCCUGAUGCAGCGACGCCGCGUGAAGGAUGAAGUAUUUCGGUAUGUAAACUUCUAUCAGCAGGGAAGAAAAUGACGGUACCUGACUAAGAAGCCCCGGCUAACUACGUGCCAGCCGCCGCGGUAA